GAUGAACGCUGGCGGCGUGCCUAAUACAUGCAAGUCGAGCGAACAGACGAGGAGCUUGCUCCUUUGACGUUAGCGGCGGACGGGUGAGUAACACGUGGAUAACCUACCUAUAAGACUGGGAUAACUUCGGGAAACCGGAGCUAAUACCGGAUAACAUGUUGAACCGCAUGGUUCAACAGUGAAAGACGGUCUUGCUGUCACUUAUAGAUGGAUCCGCGCCGCAUUAGCUAGUUGGUAAGGUAACGGCUUACCAAGGCAACGAUGCGUAGCCGACCUGAGAGGGUGAUCGGCCACACUGGAACUGAGACACGGUCCAGACUCCUACGGGAGGCAGCAGUAGGGAAUCUUCAGCAAUGGGCGAAAGCCUGACGGAGCAACGCCGCGUGAGUGAAGAAGGUCUUCGGAUCGUAAAACUCUGUUAUUAGGGAAGAACAAAUGUGUAAGUAACUAUGCACGUCUUGACGGUACCUAAUCAGAAAGCCACGGCUAACUACGUG
RNAcentral lists this ribosomal RNA (497 nucleotides) under uncultured bacterium. Its description in RNAcentral is "partial 16S ribosomal RNA". It matches the Rfam family "Bacterial small subunit ribosomal RNA", at positions 28 to 507 of the family's 1533-position model. The record is from RNAcentral.